UUAAUUGAAACCAAAAAGAGGUAUAUCACUGUUAAUGAUAAAACUGAGAAAUUCUCCAAUUAAA
Molecule: transfer RNA, 64 nt
Filed under: Phalacridae gen. sp. MJ-2020
Lineage: Eukaryota; Metazoa; Arthropoda; Insecta; Coleoptera; Phalacridae
Description: tRNA-Asn
Source: RNAcentral